This 74-nucleotide transfer RNA is filed under the name Planctomycetaceae bacterium. RNAcentral's name for it is "tRNA-Leu". It matches the Rfam family "tRNA". Rfam says of the family: Transfer RNA (tRNA) molecules are approximately 80 nucleotides in length. Their secondary structure includes four short double-helical elements and three loops (D, anti-codon, and T loops). Further hydrogen bonds mediate the characteristic L-shaped molecular structure. tRNAs have two regions of fundamental functional importance: the anti-codon, which is responsible for specific mRNA codon recognition, and the 3' end, to which the tRNAs corresponding amino acid is attached (by aminoacyl-tRNA synthetases). tRNAs cope with the degeneracy of the genetic code in two manners: having more than one tRNA (with a specific anti-codon) for a particular amino acid; and 'wobble' base-pairing, i.e. permitting non-standard base-pairing at the 3rd anti-codon position. The record is from RNAcentral. Lineage: Bacteria; Pseudomonadati; Planctomycetota; Planctomycetia; Planctomycetales; Planctomycetaceae.
GCUCAGGUACGCCAACGGGCCGAGCGGCUCAGCUUAAACCUGAGUGCGUGCGAGUUCGAAUCUCGCCCUGGGCA